GCAACAUUAGUCCAAGGGUAGGAUUCGAGCCCCCCAAGCUCGAGACCCGGGUUCGAGUCCCGGAUGUUGCA
Non-coding RNA from Dermatophagoides pteronyssinus (European house dust mite), 71 nucleotides. The record is from the annotation of a RefSeq genome assembly. NCBI's taxonomy places the organism in Eukaryota, Metazoa, Arthropoda, Arachnida, Sarcoptiformes, Pyroglyphidae.